GGAUAAGGAAAGUAAAAAAGGGCGCAUGGCGGAUGCCUUGGCUCUCGGAGGCGAUGAAGGACGUGAUAAGCUGCGAUAAGCUUUGGGGAGGUGCAAAUGACCUUUGAUCCAGAGAUUUCCGAAUGGGACAACCCAAUAUCUUGAAGAGGUAUUAUCUUACUAUGUAAGAGGCUAACGCAGGGAACUGAAACAUCUUAGUACCUGCAGGAAAAGAAAAUAAACAAUGAUUCCCCCAGUAGUGGCGAGCGAACGGGGAACAGCCCAAACCAUCCAUGUUACGGCAUGGGUGGGGUUGUAGGACUACGCCGUUGCAUGAAGACAUCAGAGAAGAACUUUCUGGAAAGAAAGACCAUAGAGCAUGACAGUUGCGUAUUCGAAUGUUGUCGAAGCAUAGUAGUAUCCUGAGUAGCGCGGAGCACGAGGAAUUCUGCGUGAAUCUGCCGGGACCAUCCGGUAAGGCUAAAUACUCCCGAGAGACCGAUAGCGAACCAGUACCGUGAGGGAAAGGUGAAAAGCACUUCGAACAGAAGAGUGAAAUAGUUCCUGAAACCGUGCGCCUACAAGCGGUCGGAGCUCGUUAAUGAGUGACGGCGUGCCUUUUGCAUAAUGAACCUACGAGUUGCCUUUGCCGGCAAGGUUAAGUGUGACGACACACGUAUCCGAAGCGAAAGCGAGUCUGAACAGGGCGUAUAGUCGGCAGUGGCAGACGCGAAACCAAGUGAUCUACCCUUGGCCAGGUUGAAGGCUGGGUAACACCAGCUGGAGGACCGCACCAAUAAGCGUUGAAAAGCUUCUGGAUGAGCUGAGGGUAGGGGUGAAAGGCUAAUCAAACUUGGAGAUAGCUCGUACUCCCCGAAAUGCAUUUAGGUGCAGCCUUGCGGGUUACUGAUGUGAGGUAGAGCGACUGAUAAGAUGCGAGGGCUUCACCGCCUAUCAAGUCUUGACAAACUCCGAAUGCGCAUCAGUUCUACCGCAGGAGUGAGGGCAUGGGUGCUAAGGUCCGUGCCCGAGAGGAGAAGAAUCCGGACCACCUGCUAAGGUCCCGAAAUGACAGCUAAGUUAAACUAACGAAGUCUGACUGCUAAGACAGCUAGGAUGUUGGCUUGGAAGCAGCCAUUCAUUUAAAGAGUGCGUAACAGCUCACUAGUCGAGGAGUCGGGCGUGGAUAAUAAUCGGGUAUCAAGUUGUCUACCGAAGCAGUGGGAUCAUUAAUAUGAUCGGUAGGGGAGCAUUCCAGUCAGCGUCGAAGGCGUACCGUGAGGUAUUCUGGAGCGUCUGGAAAAGCAAAUGUAGGUAUAAGUAACGAUAAAGGGGGCGGGAAACCCCCUCGCCGAAAGACUAAGGUUUCCUGAUCAACGCUAAUCGGAUCAGGGUCAGUCGGGUCCUAAGGCUCAGCCGAACGGCGAUGCCGAUGGCAGAAACGGUUAAUAUUCCGUUACUACCUUCAGGAGUGACGUGGAGACGCAGUAGUGACAGUGCCGCCAUCUGACGGAAUAGAUGGUUGAAGGGUGUAGGAGUCGAUCAUGGCAGGCAAAUCCACCAUGAGAUCCGAACUUGAGAGUAUGCCGCGUCCUUCGGGACAAGGCAAUAGUGCGCGUAAGCAUGCUGCCGAGAAAAUCCGCUAAACUUAAUCCUGCAGGUACCCGUACCGCAAACGGACACACGUAGUCGGGAUGAAUAUUCUAAGGCGCUUGAGUGAUUCACGGUUAAGGAACUAGGCAAACUGACCCUGUAACUUCGGGAUAAAGGGUCCCUACCCUUUUAUGGGAGGGCGCAGAGAAUCGGUCCAGGCAACUGUUUAACAAAAACACAGGGCUGUGCCAAAUCGAAAGAUCCAGUAUACAGCCUGACACCUGCCCGGUGCUGGAAGGUUAAGAGGAGAUGUCAUCGAUAAGAGAAGCGUUGAAUUGAAGCCCCAGUAAACGGCGGCCGUAACUAUAACGGUCCUAAGGUAGCGAAAUUCCUUGUCGGGUAAGUUCCGACCUGCACGAAUGGUGUAAUGAUCUGGACGCUGUCUCAACCGUGAGCUCAGUGAAAUUGUAGUAUCGGUGAAGAUGCCGAUUACCCGCGAUGGGACGAAAAGACCCCGUGAACCUUUACUAUAGCUUAUCAUUGAAUCUGGGCACGUGAUGUGUAGGAUAGGUCGGAGGCUUUGAAGCAGGUACGCCAGUAUUUGUGGAGCCGCUGUUGAAAUACGACCCUUUAUUUGUUUGGAUUCUAACCCGUGGAACGGGGACAUUGAUUGGUGGGUAGUUUGACUGGGGUGGUCGCCUCCAAAAGCGUAACGGAGGCUUCUAAAGGUGCCCUCCGGCCGAUUGGUAACCGGCCUUAGAGUGUAAUGGCAUAAGGGCGCUUGACUGGGAGACUGACAAGUCGAUCAGGUAGGAAACUAGAGCAUAGUGAUCCGGUGUUUCCGUAUGGAAGGGACAUCGCUCAAAGGAUAAAAGGUACUCCGGGGAUAACAGGCUGAUCCCUCCCAAGAGCUCAUAUCGACGGAGUGGUUUGGCACCUCGAUGUCGGCUCGUCACAUCCUGGGGCUGGAGAAGGUCCCAAGGGUUGGGCUGUUCGCCCAUUAAAGUGGCACGCGAGCUGGGUUCAGAACGUCGUGAGACAGUUCGGUCUCUAUCUAUCGUGGGCGCAUGAAAUUUGCGUGGCUCUGACACUAGUACGAGAGGACCGUGUUGGACAGACCUCUGGUUUGCCGGUUGUGCCGCCAGGUGCAUUGCCGGGUAUCUAAGUCUGGAUCGGAUAAGUGCUGAAAGCAUCUAAGUACGAAGCCGGCCACAAGAUUAGAUUUCUCAGGGUCGUUGUAGACUACGACGUUGAUAGGAUGCAGGUGUAAAGAUGGAGACAUCAAAGCCGAGCAUUACUAAUUGCCCGUUCACUUUCCUUA
Molecule: ribosomal RNA, 2893 nt
Filed under: Escherichia coli
Lineage: Bacteria; Pseudomonadati; Pseudomonadota; Gammaproteobacteria; Enterobacterales; Enterobacteriaceae
Description: 23S ribosomal RNA
Rfam family: Bacterial large subunit ribosomal RNA
Source: RNAcentral